This 242-nucleotide ribosomal RNA is filed under the name uncultured bacterium. Its description in RNAcentral is "partial 16S ribosomal RNA". It matches the Rfam family "Bacterial small subunit ribosomal RNA", at positions 62 to 334 of the family's 1533-position model. The record is from RNAcentral.
UCGAGCGCCCCGCAAGGGGAGCGGCGGACGGGUGAGUAACGCGUGGGAAUUUUCCUCAAGGUACGGAACAACUCAGGGAAACUUGGGCUAAUACCGUAUGAUGUCUAGCGACCAAAGAUUUAUCGCCUUGGGAUAAGCCCGCGUCAGAUUAGGUAGUUGGUGGGGUAACGGCCUACCAAGCCUGCGAUCUGUAGCUGGCCUGAGAGGACGAUCAGCCACAUUGGGACUGAGACACGGCCCAA